UCUACUUAGUAUUGUUGGCUACUUAGCUAUCUAUUUGAAUUGAGAGUAUUUGUGUAAGGAACUUGUAACUGGAUUUAAAUUAAUAUCAGUUUAUGUUUGCUUUGAAGCUUUGUGGAUUUUGCUUUUGUGUCUGGUAUUUUGGUGAUGAAGAGUUGAUACUCGGGUUACUUUGUGAUCUUCAGUAUUGAUGCUAUGGAUCGAUAUUGUCUUAGGAAUCUGAUCCAUUGGUAAGGCACUUGUAACUGGAUUUAAAUUAAUAUCAGUCUAUGUUUGCUUUGAAGCUUUGUGGAUUUUGCUUUUGUGUCCGGUAUUUUGGUGAUGAAGAGUUGAUACUCGGGUUACUUUGUGAUCUUCAGUAUUGAUGCUAUGGAUCGAUAUUGUCUUAGGAAUCUGAUCCAUCAGUA
RNAcentral lists this long non-coding RNA (404 nucleotides) under Ananas comosus (pineapple). RNAcentral's name for it is "long non-coding RNA (ACOM_LNC021688)". The record is from RNAcentral. Lineage: Eukaryota; Viridiplantae; Streptophyta; Magnoliopsida; Poales; Bromeliaceae.